RNAcentral lists this transfer RNA (72 nucleotides) under Mus musculus (house mouse). RNAcentral describes it as "tRNA-Thr". Lineage: Eukaryota; Metazoa; Chordata; Mammalia; Rodentia; Muridae. The record is from RNAcentral.
UGGGUUAUGGCUUAAUAGCUGAGUGCGUGCCCUGUGCGCACGAAGCCCUAGGUUCAAUUCCCAGCACCACAC